RNAcentral lists this unclassified non-coding RNA (156 nucleotides) under Colletotrichum ampelinum. Its description in RNAcentral is "sequence contains ITS2". Lineage: Eukaryota; Fungi; Ascomycota; Sordariomycetes; Glomerellales; Glomerellaceae. The record is from RNAcentral.
CAACCCUCAAGCUCCGCUUGGUGUUGGGGCCCUACAGCUGAUGUAGGCCCUCAAAGGUAGUGGCGGACCCUCCCGGAGCCUCCUUUGCGUAGUAACAUUUCGUCUCGCACUGGGAUCCGGAGGGACUCUUGCCGUAAAACCCCCUAAUUUUCCAAA